GAAAUGCGAUACUUUGUGUGAAUAGUAGAAUCCCGUGAACCAUCGAGUCUUUGAACGCAAGUUGCGUCCGAAGCCUUCUGGCCGAGGGCACGUUUUCCUGGGCGUCACGCAUCCCGUCUCCCCCCAGUCCACCCUAACUUUGUUUUCUCACGGCGGCAAAACCGUUGCGACCCCAGGUUAGGCGGGGCUACCCGCUGAGUUUAA
RNAcentral lists this unclassified non-coding RNA (204 nucleotides) under uncultured fungus. Its description in RNAcentral is "sequence contains ITS1". The stretch from base 1 to 107 matches the Rfam family "5.8S ribosomal RNA", at positions 50 to 154 of the family's 154-position model. From Rfam's summary of the family: 5.8S ribosomal RNA (5.8S rRNA) is a component of the large subunit of the eukaryotic ribosome. It is transcribed by RNA polymerase I as part of the 45S precursor that also contains 18S and 28S rRNA. Functionally, it is thought that 5.8S rRNA may be involved in ribosome translocation. The record is from RNAcentral. Lineage: Eukaryota; Fungi.